UCCUCUACUGCAAUCUAGGCUUUCAGAACAAAGGAGAAAGAAACUCCAAGCAAAGGAGGCUGAAUUGAGGAGGAGGGAGCAGGAUGUUUACAUGUACUUCCGUGGCAGUGGCAAAGCAGCAGAGAUGAAGCGUGAGGCUGCAAAACGGACAAUGAUGGCUGCGCUGCCAUGAUUCA
Molecule: non-coding RNA, 176 nt
Organism: Camellia sinensis
Lineage: Eukaryota; Viridiplantae; Streptophyta; Magnoliopsida; Ericales; Theaceae
Source: RefSeq, a predicted model, not a curated record